AUUGAACGCUAGCGGCAGGCCUAACACAUGCAAGUCGAACGAGUGGCGGACGGGUGAGUAAUAUCUGGGAAACUGCCCGAUGGAGGGGGAUAACUACUGGAAACGGUAGCUAAUACCGCAUACCAUCAGAUCUUCCCAGAUGGGAUUAGCUAGUGGGUGGGGUAAAGGCUCACCAAGGCGACGAUCCCUAGCUGGUCUGAGAGGAGGACCAGCAACACUGGAACGGAGACACGGUCCAGAAUCCUACGGGAGGCAGCAGUGGUGAAUAUUGCACAAUGGGCGAAAGCCUGAUGCAGCCAUGCCGCGUGUAUGAAGAAGGCCUUCGGGUUGUAAAGUACUUUCAGCGGGGAGGCGUUAGCCGCAGAAGAAGCACCGGCUAACUCCGUGCCAGCAGCCGCGGUAAUUC
This 406-nucleotide ribosomal RNA is filed under the name uncultured bacterium. RNAcentral's name for it is "partial 16S ribosomal RNA". It matches the Rfam family "Bacterial small subunit ribosomal RNA", at positions 30 to 526 of the family's 1533-position model. The record is from RNAcentral.